GAUCAAUGUAUGCUAAGAUUUAAUUAUAUCAAUUUACAUUUUCAUUAUUCAAAUGCCAAUCUCACACACUAGCUCAUUUAAUAACCAACUGAAACAUUCCCGUGUGGAAGUGCCCGUGUUCAAAAGGCUGUGUAGAGGUCUACAUGCCUGUGUGCAAGCUGCACACACCCGUGUGGAGGAGACACAUGCCCGUGUGACCGAGUUACAUGGCUGUGUGAGUAGUCCGUGUAACUCACUAUCCAAAAGUGUCAAAAUAAGGUGCAGAGCAGACACAACCAUGUGGAAAUCUCACACGACCGUGUGGCUAAGGGACACAACCGUGUGUCCCAGGCACACGCUCGUCUAAAAAUUGAAAAAAAUCCCCAAAUCAUAGCCACACGGUCGUGUGGUACCAAAAAUUACCUAAAACCCUAAUUCCCAAAGUCACACGGCCGUGUGCGGCACACGCCCAUGUGGCCACGAAACCAUACCGAAACAGACCAUAAAUCGUGAAUUUGCAUCAGCAAAGCAAUCCCUAAUUACUAAAUGUUCAAAAACACACCUGAUUUGCAAUUCCAAACACAACAAAUAAUUGGAAUGCCUCAAUCCCACCAAUUCUGAAAACUAGCAAACCAAUCACACUCGAUUAACAACAAUUUGAAUCAUUACAACGAUCUAACUACGAAUUAAUCUAAAACUCAACAGGAACCGUUAACCCACAUUGAAACUUACCCAAUUCAA
This 720-nucleotide long non-coding RNA is filed under the name Gossypium barbadense (sea-island cotton). Its description in RNAcentral is "long non-coding RNA (GBAR_LNC020242)". Lineage: Eukaryota; Viridiplantae; Streptophyta; Magnoliopsida; Malvales; Malvaceae. The record is from RNAcentral.